CGGAUCAGCAUGCCGCGGUGAAUACGUUCCCGGGCCUUGUACACACCGCCCGUCACACCAUGGGAGCCGGUAAUACCCGAAGUCAGUAGUCCAACCUCGUGAGGACGCUGCCGAAGGUAGGAUUGGCACUGGGGUGAAGUCGUAACAAGGUAAC
This 154-nucleotide ribosomal RNA is filed under the name uncultured bacterium. Its description in RNAcentral is "partial 16S ribosomal RNA". It matches the Rfam family "Bacterial small subunit ribosomal RNA", at positions 1345 to 1500 of the family's 1533-position model. The record is from RNAcentral.